GAUGAACGCUGGCGGCGUGCCUAAUACAUGCAAGUCGAGCGAACAGAUGAGGAGCUUGCUCCUCUGACGUUAGCGGCGGACGGGUGAGUAACACGUGGAUAACCUACCUAUAAGACUGGGAUAACUUCGGGAAACCGGAGCUAAUACCGGAUAAUAUAUUGAACCGCAUGGUUCAAUAGUGAAAGACGGUUUUGCUGUCACUUAUAGAUGGAUCCGCGCCGCAUUAGCUAGUUGGUAAGGUAACGGCUUACCAAGGCAACGAUGCGUAGCCGACCUGAGAGGGUGAUCGGCCACACUGGAACUGAGACACGGUCCAGACUCCGACGGGAGGCAGCAGUAGGGAAUCUUCCGCAAUGGGCGAAAGCCUGACGGAGCAACGCCGCGUGAGUGAUGAAGGUCUUCGGAUCGUAAAACUCUGUUAUUAGGGAAGAACAAAUGUGUAAGUAACUAUGCACGUCUUGACGGUACCGAAUCAGAAAGCCACGGCUAACUACGUG
Molecule: ribosomal RNA, 497 nt
Filed under: uncultured bacterium
Lineage: Bacteria
Description: partial 16S ribosomal RNA
Rfam family: Bacterial small subunit ribosomal RNA
Source: RNAcentral